Molecule: long non-coding RNA, 269 nt
Filed under: Capsella rubella
Lineage: Eukaryota; Viridiplantae; Streptophyta; Magnoliopsida; Brassicales; Brassicaceae
Description: long non-coding RNA (CRUB_LNC002971)
Source: RNAcentral
AUUAAUAGUUAACUAAGAAAUUUUCGGUUUGAGGUAGGAUUCUAAUUAUGAAACUAGAAUCUCUAAUAUAAAUUAGAACAUGAUAUAUAUAUAUAGGUAAACAAUGCUUUAAAUAAUUUUUUUUUUUUUUUUGGAUUUAUAUUCUUUAAAAUAUGAAUUUUAUACUCAUAAACCAUCUUUUAACUACUAAUUACUCUAUAAUUUUUAAUUUUUAAAAUUACUAAAAUUUUUCAAAGUUAACGCAAUCAAAAAUUUUAACUUCUCUUGUG